This 253-nucleotide ribosomal RNA is filed under the name uncultured bacterium. RNAcentral describes it as "partial 16S ribosomal RNA". It matches the Rfam family "Bacterial small subunit ribosomal RNA", at positions 524 to 776 of the family's 1533-position model. The record is from RNAcentral.
UACAGAGGGUGCGAGCGUUAAUCGGAAUUACUGGGCGUAAAGGGCGCGUAGGUGGUUACUUAAGUCAGAUGUGAAAUCCCUGGGCUCAACCUAGGAAUUGCAUUUGAAACUGAGUAGCUAGAGUAUGGUAGAGGUAAGUGGAAUUUCCGGUGUAGCGGUGAAAUGCGUAGAUAUCGGAAGGAACAUCAGUGGCGAAGGCGGCUUACUGGACCAUUACUGACACUGAGGCGCGAAAGCGUGGGGAGCGAACAGG